UUACGCUGUUAUCCCUAAGGUAAUUUAGUCUUAUAAUCAACAAAAAUGGAUCAAAUAUAUAUAAAUAAAUAUAAAAAAAUAAAAAGAGUUAAUUAAAUCUUUCCAUCACCCCAACAAAAUAAAUUUUCAAAUUAAAAAAAUAUCAUACAAAAAAAUAAAAAUAUAUGUAAACUCUAUAGGGUCUUCUCGUCCCAAAAAAAUAUUUAGGCAUUUUAACCUAAAAUUUAAAUUCAAUAAAUAAAUUAAAGACAGUUUACACCUCGUCAAACCAUUCAUUCCAGCCUACAAUUAAAAGACUAAUGAUUAUGCUACCUUUGCACGGUCAAAAUACCGCGGCCCUUCAAUACUCAGUGGGCAGGCCAUACAUCAAAAUAUAUUCAAGAAGAGAUGUUUUUGAUAAACAGGCG
RNAcentral lists this ribosomal RNA (407 nucleotides) under Cryptocercus sp. HWAA2. RNAcentral's name for it is "partial mitochondrial 16S rRNA gene". The record is from RNAcentral. Lineage: Eukaryota; Metazoa; Arthropoda; Insecta; Blattodea; Cryptocercidae. RNAcentral also lists the same sequence under 2 other names.